RNAcentral lists this ribosomal RNA (402 nucleotides) under uncultured Hyphomicrobium sp. RNAcentral's name for it is "bacterial SSU rRNA". It matches the Rfam family "Bacterial small subunit ribosomal RNA", at positions 355 to 774 of the family's 1533-position model. The record is from RNAcentral. Lineage: Bacteria; Pseudomonadati; Pseudomonadota; Alphaproteobacteria; Hyphomicrobiales; Hyphomicrobiaceae.
UGGGGAAUAUUGGACAAUGGGCGCAAGCCUGAUCCAGCCAUGCCGCGUGAGUGAUGAAGGCCUUAGGGUUGUAAAGCUCUUUUGCCGGGGACGAUAAUGACGGUACCCGGAGAAUAAGUCCCGGCUAACUUCGUGCCAGCAGCCGCGGUAAUACGAAGGGGACUAGCGUUGUUCGGAAUCACUGGGCGUAAAGCGCACGUAGGCGGAUUUGUAAGUCAGGGGUGAAAUCCCGGGGCUCAACCUCGGAACUGCCUUUGAUACUGCGGGUCUUGAGUCCGAUAGAGGUGGGUGGAAUUCCUAGUGUAGAGGUGAAAUUCGUAGAUAUUAGGAAGAACACCGGUGGCGAAGGCGGCCCACUGGAUCGGUACUGACGCUGAGGUGCGAAAGCGUGGGGAGCAAACA